RNAcentral lists this ribosomal RNA (301 nucleotides) under uncultured bacterium. Its description in RNAcentral is "partial 16S ribosomal RNA". It matches the Rfam family "Bacterial small subunit ribosomal RNA", at positions 509 to 809 of the family's 1533-position model. The record is from RNAcentral.
CAGCCGCCGCGGGAAAACGUAGGGUGCGAGCGUUAAUCGGAAUUACUGGGCGUAAAGCGUGCGCAGGCGGUUGUGUAAGACAGGUGUGAAAUCCCCGGGCGUAACCUGGGAACUGCGCUUGUGACUGCACAGCUAGAGUAUGGCAGAGGGGGGUGGAAUUCCACGUGUAGCAGUGAAAUGCGUAGAGAUGUGGAGGAACACCGAUGGCGAAGGCAGCCCCCUGGGCCAAUACUGACGCUCAUGCACGAAAGCGUGGGGAGCAAACAGGAUUAGAUACCCCCGUAGUCCCUGUCUCUUAUAA